Non-coding RNA from Acanthosepion pharaonis, 112 nucleotides. The record is from the annotation of a GenBank genome assembly. Lineage: Eukaryota; Metazoa; Mollusca; Cephalopoda; Sepiida; Sepiidae.
ACGGCCAUGAACUGUUCAAACAUCUGUUCCCGUACAAUCAAAGAAGUUAAGCCACGUCGAGCCUAGUCAUUACUAAGAUGGGUAACCGCUUGAAAAUACCAGGUGCUGUAAG